UACGUAGAGUGCAAGCGUUGUCCGGAAUUAUUGGGCGUAAAGAGCUCGUAGGCGGUCUGUCGCGUCUGCUGUGAAAACUCAGGGCUUAACCCUGAGCUUGCAGUGGGUACGGGCAGACUAAAGUGCGGUAGGGGAGACUGGAAUUCCUGGUGUAGCGGUGAAAUGCGCAGAUAUCAGAAGGAACACCGGUGGCGAAAACGGGUCUCUGGGCCGUAACUGACGCUGAGGAGCGAAAGCAUGGGGAGCGAACAGG
This 253-nucleotide ribosomal RNA is filed under the name uncultured bacterium. RNAcentral describes it as "partial 16S ribosomal RNA". It matches the Rfam family "Bacterial small subunit ribosomal RNA", at positions 524 to 776 of the family's 1533-position model. The record is from RNAcentral.